UAAUAAAUAUGAAAGCAUUUU
Molecule: non-coding RNA, 21 nt
Filed under: Caenorhabditis elegans
Lineage: Eukaryota; Metazoa; Nematoda; Chromadorea; Rhabditida; Rhabditidae
Source: RNAcentral